This 454-nucleotide ribosomal RNA is filed under the name uncultured organism. RNAcentral describes it as "partial 16S ribosomal RNA". It matches the Rfam family "Bacterial small subunit ribosomal RNA", at positions 331 to 801 of the family's 1533-position model. The record is from RNAcentral.
GUACACUCCUGCGGGAGGCAGCAGUGGGGAAUAUUGGACAAUGGGCGCAAGCCUGAUCCAGCCAUGCCGCGUGAGGGAUGAAGGCCCUAGGGUUGUAAAGCUCUUUCACCGGUGAAGAUAAUGACGGUAACCGGAGAAGAAGCCCCGGCUAACUUCGUGCCAGCAGCCGCGGUAAUACGAAGGGGGCUAGCGUUGUUCGGAUUUACUGGGCGUAAAGCGCACGUAGGCGGACUAUUAAGUCAGGGGUGAAAUCCCGGGGCUCAACCCCGGAACUGCCUUUGAUACUGGUAGUCUUGAGUUCGAGAGAGGUGAGUGGAAUUCCGAGUGUAGAGGUGAAAUUCGUAGAUAUUCGGAGGAACACCAGUGGCGAAGGCGGCUCACUGGCUCGAUACUGACGCUGAGGUGCGAAAGCGUGGGGAGCAAACAGGAUUAGAUACCCUUGUAGUCCCAUGAU